This 468-nucleotide ribosomal RNA is filed under the name uncultured bacterium. RNAcentral describes it as "partial 16S ribosomal RNA". It matches the Rfam family "Bacterial small subunit ribosomal RNA", at positions 28 to 507 of the family's 1533-position model. The record is from RNAcentral.
GACGAACGCUGGCGGCGUGCUUAACACAUGCAAGUCGAACGGUGAUGCUCCAGCUUGCUGGAGUGGAUCAGUGGCGAACGUGUGAGUAACACGUGAGCAACCUGCCCCAGACUCUGGAAUAAGCGCUGGAAACGGCGUCUAAUACUGGAUACGAAACUGGCCCGCAUGGGCAUGGUUUGGAAAGUUUUUCGGUUUGGGAUGGGCUCGCGGCCUAUCAGCUUGUUGGUGAGGUAAUGGCUCACCAAGGCGACGACGGGUAGCCGGCCUGAGAGGGCGACCGGCCACACUGGGACUGAGACACGGCCCAGACUCCUACGGGAGGCAGCAGUGGGGAAUAUUGCACAAUGGGCGAAAGCCUGAUGCAGCGACGCCGCGUGAGGGAUGACGGCCUUCGGGUUGUAAACCUCUUUCAGCAGGGAAGAAGCGAAAGUGACGGUACCUGCAGAAGAAGCACCGGCUAACUACGUG